This 278-nucleotide ribosomal RNA is filed under the name Vibrio parahaemolyticus. RNAcentral describes it as "partial 16S ribosomal RNA". It matches the Rfam family "Bacterial small subunit ribosomal RNA", at positions 1 to 265 of the family's 1533-position model. The record is from RNAcentral. Lineage: Bacteria; Pseudomonadati; Pseudomonadota; Gammaproteobacteria; Vibrionales; Vibrionaceae.
AAAUUGAAGAGUUUGAUCAUGGCUCAGAUUGAACGCUGGCGGCAGGCCUAACACAUGCAAGUCGAGCGGAAACGAGUUAUCUGAACCUUCGGGGGACGAUAACGGCGUCGAGCGGCGGACGGGUGAGUAAUGCCUAGGAAAUUGCCCUGAUGUGGGGGAUAACCAUUGGAAACGAUGGCUAAUACCGCAUGAUGCCUACGGGCCAAAGAGGGGGACCUUCGGGCCUCUCGCGUCAGGAUAUGCCUAGGUGGGAUUAGCUAGUUGGUGAGGUAAGGGCU